UUAUAGGUGGUUCAGAUGGUAAAAAAUCUGCCUGCAAUGCAGGAGACCUAGGUUCAAUUCUUGGAUUGUGAA
RNAcentral lists this transfer RNA (72 nucleotides) under Bos taurus (domestic cattle). It matches the Rfam family "tRNA". Rfam says of the family: Transfer RNA (tRNA) molecules are approximately 80 nucleotides in length. Their secondary structure includes four short double-helical elements and three loops (D, anti-codon, and T loops). The record is from Rfam by way of RNAcentral. Lineage: Eukaryota; Metazoa; Chordata; Mammalia; Artiodactyla; Bovidae. RNAcentral also lists the same sequence under 5 other names.